RNAcentral lists this ribosomal RNA (659 nucleotides) under uncultured bacterium. Its description in RNAcentral is "bacterial SSU rRNA". It matches the Rfam family "Bacterial small subunit ribosomal RNA", at positions 1 to 659 of the family's 1533-position model. The record is from RNAcentral.
UAGAGUUUGAUCCUGGCUCAGGAUGAACGCUAGCGGCAGGCCUAACACAUGCAAGUCGAACGGUAACAGGAAUUAGCUUGCUAAUUUGCUGACGAGUGGCGCACGGGUGCGUAACGCGUAUACAAUCUACCUUUUGCUAAGGGAUAGCCCAGAGAAAUUUGGAUUAAUACCUUAUAGUAUUAUUUUAUGGCAUCAUUUAAUAAUUAAAGGCUACGGCAAAAGAUGAGUAUGCGUCCCAUUAGCUAGUUGGCGAGGUAACGGCUCACCAAGGCGACGAUGGGUAGGGGUCCUGAGAGGGAGAUCCCCCACACUGGUACUGAGACACGGACCAGACUCCUACGGGAGGCAGCAGUGAGGAAUAUUGGACAAUGGUCGGAAGACUGAUCCAGCCAUGCCGCGUGCAGGAAGACUGCCCUAUGGGUUGUAAACUGCUUUUAUACAGGAAGAAUAAGCCUUACGUGUAAGGUGAUGACGGUACUGUACGAAUAAGGACCGGCUAACUCCGUGCCAGCAGCCGCGGUAAUACGGAGGGUCCAAGCGUUAUCCGGAAUUAUUGGGUUUAAAGGGUCCGUAGGUGGAUAAUUAAGUCAGGGGUGAAAGUUUGCAGCUCAACUGUAAAAUUGCCUUUGAUACUGGUUAUCUUGAAUUGUAUUGAAGUA